This 56-nucleotide transfer RNA is filed under the name Stenella longirostris (spinner dolphin). RNAcentral's name for it is "tRNA-Phe". Lineage: Eukaryota; Metazoa; Chordata; Mammalia; Artiodactyla; Delphinidae. The record is from RNAcentral.
UUUUUAUAAAGCAAGACACUGAAAAUGUCUAGAUGGGCAUUAUUGCCCCAUCAACA